Molecule: ribosomal RNA, 663 nt
Filed under: uncultured cyanobacterium
Lineage: Bacteria; Bacillati; Cyanobacteriota
Description: bacterial SSU rRNA
Rfam family: Bacterial small subunit ribosomal RNA
Source: RNAcentral
CGGACGGGUGAGUAACGCGUGAGAAUCUGGCUUCAGGUCUGGGACAACCACUGGAAACGGUGGCCAAUACCGGAUGUGCCGAGAGGUGAAAGGUUAACUGCCUGAAGAUGAGCUCGCGUCUGAUUAGCUAGUUGGAAGUGUAAUGGACUCCCAAGGCGACGAUCAGUAGCUGGUCUGAGAGGACGAUCAGCCACACUGGGACUGAGACACGGCCCAGACUCCUACGGGAGGCAGCAGUGGGGAAUUUUCCGCAAUGGGCGAAAGCCUGACGGAGCAAUACCGCGUGAGGGAGGAAGGCUCUUGGGUCGUAAACCUCUUUUCUCAGGGAAGAACAAAAUGACGGUACCUGAGGAAUAAGCAUCGGCUAACUCCGUGCCAGCAGCCGCGGUAAUACGGAGGAUGCAAGCGUUAUCCGGAAUGAUUGGGCGUAAAGCGUCCGCAGGUGGCUAUGUAAGUCUGCUGUUAAAUAGUGAGGCUCAACCUCAUAAAGGCAGUGGAAACUACACGGCUAGAGUGCGUUCGGGGCAGAGGGAAUUCCUGGUGUAGCGGUGAAAUGCGUAGAGAUCAGGAAGAACACCGGUGGCGAAAGCGCUCUGCUAGGCCGCAACUGACACUGAGGGACGAAAGCUAGGGGAGCGAAUGGGAUUAGAUACCCCAGUAGUC